Molecule: non-coding RNA, 104 nt
Organism: Pelobates cultripes (western spadefoot toad)
Lineage: Eukaryota; Metazoa; Chordata; Amphibia; Anura; Pelobatidae
Source: the annotation of a GenBank genome assembly
AUGUGUAGGGGCAGGAUCCCAAUUUAUUCUGCCCACAGCCAUGGGUAUUGGGUUGGGGCUGUGGACAGAAUAAAUUGGGAUCCUGCCCCUACACAUGGUCAAUG